GACGAACGCUGGCGGCGUGCUUAACACAUGCAAGGCGAACGGAAAGGCCCUGCUUUUGUGGGGUGCUCGAGUGGCGAACGGGUGAGUAACACGUGAGUAACCUGCCCUUGACUUUGGGAUAACUUCAGGAAACUGGGGCUAAUACCGGAUAGGAGCUCCUGCUGCAUGGUGGGGGUUGGAAAGUUUCGGCGGUUGGGGAUGGGCUCGCGGCUUAUCAGCUUGUUGGUGGGGUAGUGGCUUACCAAGGCUUUGACGGGUAGCCGGCCUGAGAGGGUGACCGGCCACAUUGGGACUGAGAUACGGCCCAGACUCCUACGGGAGGCAGCAGUGGGGAAUAUUGCACAAUGGGCGGAAGCCUGAUGCAGCAACGCCGCGUGCGGGAUGACGGCCUUCGGGUUGUAAACCGCUUUCGCCUGUGACGAAGCGUGAGUGACGGUAAUGGGUAAAGAAGCACCGGCUAACUACGUG
RNAcentral lists this ribosomal RNA (468 nucleotides) under uncultured bacterium. Its description in RNAcentral is "partial 16S ribosomal RNA". It matches the Rfam family "Bacterial small subunit ribosomal RNA", at positions 28 to 507 of the family's 1533-position model. The record is from RNAcentral.